Molecule: ribosomal RNA, 253 nt
Filed under: uncultured bacterium
Lineage: Bacteria
Description: partial 16S ribosomal RNA
Rfam family: Bacterial small subunit ribosomal RNA
Source: RNAcentral
UACGUAGGGUGCGAGCGUUGUCCGGAAUUAUUGGGCGUAAAGAGCGCGCAGGCGGUCGUUCAAGUCGCGUGUGAAAGCCCCCGGCUCAACUGGGGAGGGUCACGCGAUACUGAUUGACUCGAAGGCAGGAGAGGGUAGUGGAAUUCCCGGUGUAGUGGCGAAAUGCGUAGAGAUGUGGAGGAACACCAGUGGCGAAGGCGACUCUUUGGCCUGUAACUGACGCUGAGGCGCGAAAGCGUGGGGAGCAAACAGG